GACGAACGCUGGCGGCGUGCUUAACACAUGCAAGUCGAGCGGUAAGGCCCUUUCGGGGGUACACGAGCGGCGAACGGGUGAGUAACACGUGGGUGACCUGCCCUCAGCUCUGGGAUAAGCCCGGGAAACUGGGUCUAAUACCGGAUAUGACUCCAUGACGCAUGUUGUGGGGUGGAAAGCCUUGUGCGGCUGAGGAUGGGCCCGCGGCCUAUCAGCUUGUUGGUGGGGUGAUGGCCACCAAGGCGACGACGGGUAGCCGGCCUGAGAGGGCGACCGGCCACACUGGGACUGAGAUACGGCCCAGACUCCUACGGGAGGCAGCAGUGGGGAAUCUUGCGCAAUGGGGGAAAGCCUGACGCAGCGACGCCGCGUGAGGGAUGACGGCCU
RNAcentral lists this ribosomal RNA (387 nucleotides) under uncultured bacterium. RNAcentral describes it as "bacterial SSU rRNA". It matches the Rfam family "Bacterial small subunit ribosomal RNA", at positions 28 to 417 of the family's 1533-position model. The record is from RNAcentral.